AGGACGAACGCUGGCGGCGUGCUUAACACAUGCAAGUCGAGCGAGGCCUUCCCUUCGGGGGAGUGCCCUAGCGGCGAACGGGUGAGUAACACGUGGGCAACCUGCCCCUAGCACUGGGAUAACUCCGGGAAACCGGGGCUAAUACCGGAUAUGACCUUUGAGGGCAUCCUCUUUGGUGUAAAGGAUUCUGGCUAGGGAUGGGCCCGCGGCCUAUCAGCUUGUUGGUGGGGUAAUGGCCUACCAAGGCGACGACGGGUAGCCGGCCUGAGAGGGCGACCGGCCACACUGGGACUGAGACACGGCCCAGACUCCUACGGGAGGCAGCAGUGGGGAAUAUUGCACAAUGGGCGAAAGCCUGAUGCAGCGACGCCGCGUGAGGGAUGACGGCCUUCGGGUUGUAAACCUCUUCAGUACCGACGAAGCGAAAGUGACGGUAGGUACAGAAGAAGACACCGGCCAACUACGUGCCAGCAGCCGC
RNAcentral lists this ribosomal RNA (478 nucleotides) under uncultured bacterium. RNAcentral describes it as "SSU rRNA". It matches the Rfam family "Bacterial small subunit ribosomal RNA", at positions 26 to 518 of the family's 1533-position model. The record is from RNAcentral.